Molecule: long non-coding RNA, 1840 nt
Filed under: Mustela putorius furo (domestic ferret)
Lineage: Eukaryota; Metazoa; Chordata; Mammalia; Carnivora; Mustelidae
Description: lncRNA (ENSMPUG00000027011.1)
Source: RNAcentral
GCUAGGGGAGCGAGCCGCCCACUCACCGCUGGAUACAACCGGCUAAUUAUAUCACCCAGAGACCCGGGGCGGCAGCGUGUGGGCAUUUUUUCAGCUGACCCAGCCUGUUUCUACUUGCUCUGCACGAUUGUUCUUGAUUUUUCAAAAUAAUAAUAACCACUGCUAACCAGGAAAAAAAUCGCCCGGGGCUGCGGAGCCGGCUCCUGAAGCCAGAGCCCUGGGCCACCUGCUGCUCCCGGAGGGAGAGACGUACUCAGCGUUCCUAGUUUACAAAACUGAGAGCAAGUGUCUGGACUCCCAAACCGGGGCUCCGUGGUCCAAGUGGCUCUGAGGACAGGAUACGCUGGAAGCAGCAGAAUCAGAAAGACAAAUAUUGUUCUGACGGCGCCCACCACGGUUCUGUAUAGGAUGACUCAUAAUCCCGGUUUGAACACUGAAAGUUCCAGCUCUGCUCAACGAACCCUGUCAGUCCCAGGAAAACAGGACGAUAACAGAAUAAACCACCACCACAAAUGUCUUCACAUCCUUUUAGGUCUGGUUUUGCUACCACGCAAAUUUGCCACAAACCAAAGAAAAGACUUGAUUUUCAGAGCUUUUGGAUUUGGGGAUUGUGGAAGAGGGACUGUGGACCUGUAAGCAACCAAGAGAAAUCUGAAGAAGACUAUCGCUUUUAUGAAAAAGAGGCUAAAAGUGAAAACAGCGCUCUGUUCUGCAACCUGUGGUCACAGAGGCCGCAGCGAGGAAGCAGCGAGAAUGGCGCCACCAAGCUCCUUCCCUGGGAACUACACUCAGCUGCUCAGCAUCGAGCCAUCCUAGCUUUGAACUGUGAACGUCUGUGCCUUAUCUCAAUUUAUUUUGUGAAUCCACUAGCAAGAUGUGUCCUAAUAUCAUAGAAAAGCCUAAGAGAGGUUCAUCUGGGGGGUCUGGGAACCCUAAAAAAAGUUUCUAUAUAAGUUCGUGGAAGUUGCUUCUUUGCUUUAUGCCAUUUCAGUUUAUAAAAGUUUGAAUUAAAACUCUCUACUUUCUCGGUAUAUAUACAGAGACGGGCAGACACAGAGAGGUUGAUUGUAAGGUAUUGGGGUUUUAUGCUUUUGAGGAACUGUCGAGUCCACAACGUAGGGCAGGCUGGCAAUUUCAGUAAGAGUCCAUUUACAGUCUCAACAGUUGGAAGGCCCUCCAGAGGCUGAAUUCCUUUCUUAGAGUGGGGGUGGGAGCCUCGAUCUUUUCUCUUAGGUCUUCAGCUGACUGGAGGAGUCCCCGCUCCCCUGCCACACUAAAGAGGAUAAUCAUCUUUACUCAAAGUCUAUUGAUGUAAAUGUUAAUCACAUCUAAAGAUUUUAUUUAUUCUAAGAAAGAGUGUUUACAAGCAGAGGGAGGGGCAGAGGGGGAGAGAGAGAAUCUCGAGCAGACUCCUCACUGAGCACAGAGCCUACCAUGGGACUUGAUCUCACCAUCUGAGAUCAUGACAUGAGCUGAAAUCAAGAGUCAAACUGUUCACCCACGGAACCAUCCAGGCACCACAAAUGGUAAUCGUGUUUAAAAGAUACCUUCUCAGCAACAUCUAGACUGCUGUUGGACCAAACAGGCGGCUACUGAGUUGAUACAAAAUUAAACAUCGUUCCUAUUUAUUAACCCAACUCUUCAGCUUUGAGUGUUUGUCCGGGAUGCUAUGUGAAAGUCCCCACCUUCCCAGAGUUAACAGUCACAGAGGAGAUAAAGCUGGGGGACACAAAACGAUCACAAAGACUGCGAAGCAUUCAGCAUGGAAUCAGUUGCAAGGUUCUGAGCACGGCCUGACAAAGUCCCCUCAAACACAGUCCAGAAAGCCAGAGAUACACUG